Molecule: ribosomal RNA, 253 nt
Filed under: uncultured bacterium
Lineage: Bacteria
Description: partial 16S ribosomal RNA
Rfam family: Bacterial small subunit ribosomal RNA
Source: RNAcentral
UACGGAGGGUGCGAGCGUUGUCCGGAAUCAUUGGGCGUAAAGGGCGCGUAGGUGGCGGGGCAAGCGUGCGGUGAAAGCUCGGGGCUCAACCCCGAGUCGGCCGUGCGAACUGCUUUGCUGGAGCACUGUAGAGGCAGGCGGAAUUCCGGGUGUAGCGGUGGAAUGCGUAGAGAUCCGGAAGAACACCGGUGGCGAAGGCGGCCUGCUGGGCAGUGGCUGACACUGAGGCGCGACAGCGUGGGGAGCAAACAGG